This is a long non-coding RNA of Juglans microcarpa x Juglans regia, 955 nucleotides long. RefSeq lists it as uncharacterized. Lineage: Eukaryota; Viridiplantae; Streptophyta; Magnoliopsida; Fagales; Juglandaceae. The record is from RefSeq and is a predicted model, not a curated record. The transcript is spliced from 2 exons.
UGUAGUCUAAUAGUACUGAGAGUUAGAAGUAGGUAGCAAUUAUCUCACUUUUUCUGACAGUAGCAUUUGUAAUCUAGUGUAGUUGUUUGACCAGUAGGCAUACGAUAGGACACUGGACUGUAAAGUUCUGACUCAUGUUAGUGAGAUGAAAAACAGAUUGGAGUGGUAAAAAUUUCAAGGCAACCAUUUAAAUAAAUCUGUGUUUUGUUUUGUUCUGCUCACAUGUAUGUUAUAUUAUACAUCGGUUGUUUUUAUUUACCACAUUUAAUAUGACAUUUUAUUUGAUCAGUUUUCAGCUGUUUUUCGAACUCCCAGAUCUCCUUUGCUAAACUUGCUUCUUGUGCUUCUCAUGGGGUAACGUGAAAUUCCCAUUUCAUUAAUGUAGAAUGAUGUGAUUUCUUUCUUGCAUGAGUACAUUUUAAUUAGAUCGACCUUCAGUCUCAUGUUGUCCAUUUAGAAUACCUCUCAAGGCGAGCGCAGCUCUGAAAUAAUGUUUCACUUAUUUUUCCUUUUUAACCUUUUGGUUUACCUUCUGGAAGGUUGUGAUUGAUUAUAUGUAUGGAGGUGCUAGGGUGCAUGGUGUUCUAACAGGGUUCGAGAGGCAUAUGGAAUGGGGUUAGGGGAAAAUAUCCGGAGAGGUUGCGAGACUAUUUCUAGGCAUACAAAAUUGGUGGUGGAAGAUGGCUCCAAGGAUUAAUUUCUGGUAUGAUAUAUGGUGUGGGGUUAGAACAUUGAAGGAUGUUUCUCCCUCAAUUUUCAGCUUCUGGCUUGGGUGACUGAAGUAAAGGUGCAUCUGCCUACAUAGUUUUGGUUGUACUCUUACCAUAUCGGCCGAAUAUGUUUCUUUGGAGUUUGGAGCUAUUCAACCAUGCACUCAUAAAUGCUAUUUGAAUCUCUAAUAUAUGUAGACAUUGGUACUUUCUAGUGAGGAAAAAAAUGGAGUUUGUAUUGCUAG